UACAUUCAUUGGGGGUUUAGUAUUGGGGGGAGGAGGAGGAGGAGGAAGAAGAAAGAGCCUCAUCCUGAUACUCCCCAGUUUUGUUGCGUAUCGCGGAGCUGCAGAUCCGGCUGGAUGUGUGUCGCACUGGAUACAGAAAACACGCUCCUGCUAUUACAAACUGGAUGUGUGUGUGUGCGUGUGUGCGUGUGUGUGUGUGUGUGUGGGUGUGUGUUGGUUUAGUCAUGAAUUACACCUGAGCCGGGCAUGUAGUUUGCCGGGUUCCUGGGCGUGGGGAGCACGAAGGAAGCAGCUUCUUCUUGUGUUUGUUGGAAUAUUGUUGGAGUGAAACUUCAGCAGUGACUGCAGCAGCUGCGCAGCGCGACGCACGACGCACGUUGUUUCUGCUCCGCUCUGCCUCGAUCACAUCACUUUCAUCACACCAGGAUGUACAUUUGGGAACUUUUUAUUUUGGAAGCACCGUGGACACAGAGGACGAGUUUUAUUUUCUAAGUUUUGAUUCCUUGUUUUGGGGGAAUACAGACAGAAAACACGGCUGUGCAGUGAGAGGGGCAUCCAGAGGAGAGGAGAGCGAGGUUGUUGAUGUCCUCAGAGAUCAACCGGCCUGAACACUGAACAGGAGAGCGAGGUGGUUCAUGUCAUCAGAGACCAACAGGCCCGAACACUAAACAGGUAAGGACGGAUUCUUCCUCCGACUUUUACUUUUUAAAUCUUGUCAUGAAGACUUGUAUGAACUCAACAAUGAGCGUUUUCUUCCCGCUUUACUUUCAAACUACUUUCUCUGAACUUUCAC
Molecule: long non-coding RNA, 793 nt
Filed under: Cottoperca gobio
Lineage: Eukaryota; Metazoa; Chordata; Actinopteri; Perciformes; Bovichtidae
Description: lncRNA (ENSCGOG00000008380.1)
Source: RNAcentral